UCUACCACCGGGAUGUUCAUAACCCUUUGCUGUCCGACUCUGUUGCCUCCGGGGCGACCCUGCCUUCGGGCGGGGGCUCCGGGUGGACACUUCAAACUCUUGCGUAACUUUGCAGUCUGAGUAAACUUAAUUAAUAAAUUAAAACUUUUAACAACGGAUCUCUUGGUUCUGGCAUCGAUGAAGAACGCAGCGAAAUGCGAUAAGUAAUGUGAAUUGCAGAAUUCAGUGAAUCAUCGAAUCUUUGAACGCACAUUGCGCCCCCUGGUAUUCCGGGGGGCAUGCCUGUUCGAGCGUCAUUUCACCACUCAAGCCUCGCUUGGUAUUGGGCAACGCGGUCCGCCGCGUGCCUCAAAUCGACCGGCUGGGUCUUCUGUCCCCUAAGCGUUGUGGAAACUAUUCGCUAAAGGGUGUUCGGGAGGCUACGCCGUAAAACAACCCCAUUUCUAAGGUUGACCUCGGAUCAGGUAGGGAUACCCGCUGAACUUAAGCAUAUCAAAA
This 498-nucleotide ribosomal RNA is filed under the name Trichothecium roseum. RNAcentral's name for it is "eukaryotic LSU rRNA". The stretch from base 143 to 296 matches the Rfam family "5.8S ribosomal RNA". The record is from RNAcentral. Lineage: Eukaryota; Fungi; Ascomycota; Sordariomycetes; Hypocreales.